UGGGGAAUAUUGCACAAUGGGCGCAAGCCUGAUGCAGCCAUGCCGCGUGUAUGAAGAAGGCCUUCGGGUUGUAAAGUACUUUCAGCGGGGAGGAAGGUGUUGAGGUUAAUAACCUCAGCAAUUGACGUUACCCGCAGAAGAAGCACCGGCUAACUCCGUGCCAGCAGCCGCGGUAAUACGGAGGGUGCAAGCGUUAAUCGGAAUUACUGGGCGUAAAGCGAACGCAGGCGGUCUGUCAAGUCGGAUGUGAAAUCCCCGGGCUCAACCUGGGAACUGCAUUCGAAACUGGCAGGCUAGAGUCUUGUAGAGGGGGGUAGAAUUCCAGGUGUAGCGGUGAAAUGCGUAGAGAUCUGGAGGAAUACCGGUGGCGAAGGCGGCCCCCUGGACAAAGACUGACGCUCAGGUGCGAAAGCGUGGGGAGCAAACA
Molecule: ribosomal RNA, 427 nt
Filed under: uncultured bacterium
Lineage: Bacteria
Description: partial 16S ribosomal RNA
Rfam family: Bacterial small subunit ribosomal RNA
Source: RNAcentral